CAGGAGGCUGGGUCCACCAGGAAGGGCUGGUGCAGCUUCUUUCUUGGACACAUAGCUCAUUGUUGCUGGGAACAACCUGCUCUCUCUCUGGCCCAGGGUUCACAAGCAUGAGUGUGCUCUUGCAGCAGCAUUAUCUAGGACUAUGGGACUUACAGAAUUCUGCAGGCUGCCAUGUAAACCCCUUCAUUUUGGAUUACUUCAUUAAGAAAUAAAAAUAAGAGUCGAUUCCAGCUCAUGGCGACCCC
Long non-coding RNA from Trichechus manatus latirostris (Florida manatee), 245 nucleotides. RefSeq lists it as uncharacterized. The record is from RefSeq and is a predicted model, not a curated record. The transcript is spliced from 3 exons. NCBI's taxonomy places the organism in Eukaryota, Metazoa, Chordata, Mammalia, Sirenia, Trichechidae.